GUCAGGAUGGCCGAGCGGUCUAAGGGCCUGCGUUCAGGUCGCAGUCCAGUUUCUGGGCGAGGGUUCGAAUCCCUCUUCUGACA
Molecule: transfer RNA, 83 nt
Filed under: Daphnia pulex (common water flea)
Lineage: Eukaryota; Metazoa; Arthropoda; Branchiopoda; Diplostraca; Daphniidae
Rfam family: tRNA
About the family: Transfer RNA (tRNA) molecules are approximately 80 nucleotides in length. Their secondary structure includes four short double-helical elements and three loops (D, anti-codon, and T loops).
Source: Rfam by way of RNAcentral